AAAUCUAUCUUUUUCUGAAACCUUACUCCACUUGCCUUUGUGUUAGUGAAGAUGGUAAUUACAUGGCAACUAAAUCCUCUUAACCAUGAGAUCAAGCUUCUUUUAUUAUUACUUUUUAAAAAUGCAUUACGGUUGUGAAAUGGAUUGCUUAAUUAUAUUUAUUUUUGAGGUUGCCUAUUCGCUUGCUUCGAAGCUUGGCUAACAAUUAAAACAGCUAG
This 218-nucleotide long non-coding RNA is filed under the name Elaeis guineensis (African oil palm). Its description in RNAcentral is "long non-coding RNA (EGUI_LNC011687)". The record is from RNAcentral. Lineage: Eukaryota; Viridiplantae; Streptophyta; Magnoliopsida; Arecales; Arecaceae.